Molecule: non-coding RNA, 143 nt
Organism: Otolemur garnettii (small-eared galago)
Lineage: Eukaryota; Metazoa; Chordata; Mammalia; Primates; Galagidae
Source: Rfam
GGGGAAGGAGGCCAGUGCUGCCAGGGGUUAUCUCCCGACCUCAGAUGCUGGAGGAGUCCAAGGAGGCAGAGUUGCUGCGGGAUGACAUUCAGAAAGGCUGGAGUGAUUAUUUGGGAGAGAAAAGCCUGCCUAUUCUUGCCAAG